UAAUGGCGAAUGAAGCGGCAAGAGCCCAAAUUUGAAAUCAGGCCCUCGUGGCUUGAGUUGUAAUUUGGAGACGGGAUACUAGAGAGAGGGAGGGCGACUAAGUGCCUUGGAACAGGCUGCCGUAGAGGGUGAGAGCCCCGUGAGUCGCGUGAACUCGAUCAAUUAGUGCCCGCCGAAGAGUCGAGUUGUUUGGGAAUGCAGCUCUAAGUGGGUGGUAUAUUCCAUCUAAGGCUAAAUAUUAGCGAGAGACCGAUAGCAAACAAGUACAGUGAUGGAAAGAUGAAAAGAACUUUGGAAAGAGAGUGAAAUAGUACGUGAAAUUGUUGAAAGGGAAGGGUAUUUGAUCCGACAUGGUGUUUAGCAGCGGCCCGUUCCUCGUGGAUGGGUGCACCUGGUUUACACUGGGCCAGCAUCGGUUCUGGGAGCCAUAUACGGGGCAGGCGAAUGUGGCCCUUCGAUUCUGUCGGAGGGUGUUAUAGCGCCAGCC
RNAcentral lists this ribosomal RNA (487 nucleotides) under Brettanomyces anomalus. Its description in RNAcentral is "LSU rRNA". It matches the Rfam family "Eukaryotic large subunit ribosomal RNA", at positions 84 to 577 of the family's 3401-position model. The record is from RNAcentral. Lineage: Eukaryota; Fungi; Ascomycota; Pichiomycetes; Pichiales; Pichiaceae.